RNAcentral lists this ribosomal RNA (574 nucleotides) under uncultured eukaryote. RNAcentral's name for it is "eukaryotic LSU rRNA". It matches the Rfam family "Eukaryotic large subunit ribosomal RNA", at positions 54 to 643 of the family's 3401-position model. The record is from RNAcentral.
AGGAAAAGAAACCAACAGGGAUUGCCUCAGUAACGGCGAGUGAAGCGGCAACAGCUCAAAUUUGAAAUCUGGCCUCUUCGGGGUCCGAGUUGUAAUUUGUAGAGGAUGUUUCGGGUACCGCCCCGGUCUAAAUUUCUUGGAACAGAAUGUCAAAGAGGGUGAGAAUCCCGUCUUGGACCGGCGGUAGGGCCUAUGUGAAACUCCUUCGACGAGUCGAGUUGUUUGGGAAUGCAGCUCAAAAUGGGUGGUAUAUUUCAUCUAAAGCUAAAUAUUGGCCAGAGACCGAUAGCGCACAAGUAGAGUGAUCGAAAGAUGAAAAGCACUUUGAAAAGAGAGUUAAACAGUACGUGAAAUUGUUGAAAGGGAAGCGCUUGCAAUCAGACUUGAGCGCGGCGGUUCCCCCUUCCUUUUGGCUGGGUUAUUCCGCCGUGUCCAGGCCAACAUCGGUUCUGGGGGUCGGUUAAAGGCUCUGGGAAUGUAUCUUCCUUCGGGUUGACUUAUAGCCCAGGGUGUCAUGCGACCUCCCGGGACCGAGGAACGCGCUUCGGCUCGGACGUUGGCGUAAUGGUUGUCA